RNAcentral lists this ribosomal RNA (468 nucleotides) under uncultured bacterium. RNAcentral describes it as "partial 16S ribosomal RNA". It matches the Rfam family "Bacterial small subunit ribosomal RNA", at positions 28 to 507 of the family's 1533-position model. The record is from RNAcentral.
GACGAACGCUGGCGGCGUGCUUAACACAUGCAAGUCGAACGGAAAGGCCCUGCUUUUGUGGGGUGCUCGAGUGGCGAACGGGUGAGUAACACGUGAGUAACCUGCCCUUGACUUUGGGAUAACUUCAGGAAACUGGGGCUAAUACCGGAUAGGAGCUCCUGCUGCAUGGUGGGGGUUGGAAAGUUUCGGCGGUUGGGGAUGGACUCGCGGCUUAUCAGCUUGUUGGUGGGGUAGUGGCUUACCAAGGCUUUGACGGGUAGCCGGCCUGAGAGGGUGACCGGCCACAUUGGGACUGAGAUACGGCCCAGACUCCUACGGGAGGCAGCAGUGGGGAAUAUUGCAUAAUGGGCGGAAGCCUGAUGCAGCAACGCCGCGUGCGGGAUGACGGCCUUCGGGUUGUAAACCGCUUUCGCCUGUGACGAAGCGUGAGUGACGGUAAUGGGUAAAGAAGCACCGGCUAACUAUGUG